RNAcentral lists this ribosomal RNA (97 nucleotides) under uncultured bacterium. RNAcentral describes it as "partial 16S ribosomal RNA". It matches the Rfam family "Bacterial small subunit ribosomal RNA", at positions 1386 to 1482 of the family's 1533-position model. The record is from RNAcentral.
CACACCGCCCAUCACACCAUAGGAGUGGGUUUCACCAGAAGUAGGUAGUCUAACCGCAAGGAGGACGCUUACCACGGUGAGAUUCAUGACUGGGGUG